AGAGUUUGAUCAUGGCUCAGGAUUAACGUUGGUAGUAUGCCUAACACAUGCAAGUCGAACGGGAUUGUAGCAAUACAAUCUAGUGGCGAACGGGUGAGUAAUACCUAUCUAACUUGCCAAUUAGUGGGGGAUAACCGUGGGAAACCAUGGCUAAUACCGCAUUUGUUACUACACUUAGAUAAUUCAUAUGUUAGAGAUUUGUAAUGAAAGGAAGUCGCAAGGCUUUUGCUAAUUGAGAGGGAUAAGUCGUAUUAGUUUGUUGGUGGGGUAAUGGCCUACCAAGACUAUGAUGCGUAGCCAGUCUGAGAGGAUGAAUGGCCACAAGGGAACUGAGACACGGUCCCUACUCCUACGGGAGGCAGCAGUGAGGAAUUUUCGGCAAUGGGGGCAACCCUGACCGAGCAAUACUACGUGAAGGAGGAAGGUCUACGGAUUGUAAACUUCUGUUGGUAGAGAAGAAGAAUUGGAUGUGAAUCCAGUUUUGACGGUAUCUACCGAGAAAGCCACGACUAACUACGUGCCAGCAGUCGCGGUAAGACGUAGGUGGCGAACGUUAUCCGGAAUUAUUGGGCGUAAAGGGUGCGUAGAUGGUCCGAUAAGUUAGCAGUGGGAAAUCGGGGCCCAACCCCGCGGAAGCUGCUAAUACUGUGGGACUAAGAGGACAGGAGAGGUUAACGGAACUCUCUGUGGAGCGGUGAAAUGCGUAGAUAUAGGGAAGAACACCAAAGAGGCGAAAGCAGUUAACUAUUCUGAUCCUGACAUUGAGGCACGAAAGCGUGGGGAGCAAAGCGGAUUAGAUACCCUAGUAGUCC
This 812-nucleotide ribosomal RNA is filed under the name uncultured bacterium. RNAcentral's name for it is "bacterial SSU rRNA". It matches the Rfam family "Bacterial small subunit ribosomal RNA", at positions 8 to 796 of the family's 1533-position model. The record is from RNAcentral.